Perca flavescens (yellow perch) is the source of this 442-nucleotide long non-coding RNA. RefSeq lists it as uncharacterized. The record is from RefSeq and is a predicted model, not a curated record. The transcript has 2 exons. NCBI's taxonomy places the organism in Eukaryota, Metazoa, Chordata, Actinopteri, Perciformes, Percidae.
AAUUCUCAGCCCCUCAGCCAGAUAGAGAACUACAUGCAGAACACAGCAGUCUACAGGGCCAAGUGGAUUAGGGACAACAAUUGGACCAUCGAUCAGAUCCUCGAAGAGUUCCCUCACCUAAUGACCAAAGGCAUGAUUGCACAGGCUUGUCCUGCAUGGGGAUGCUGCAUCAAAGUUGUUUGAAACUUGGUCACGUGAAAUGCCAGGAGGGGAGUCUAAAAUGGUAAAGUUUAUUCAAAGUAGAAUACUUGCUUGCAAGUAGAGCUAAUGGCUCUUAAUAGCAGCUUUUUAAUAGGAAUUUGAAUUUGUUCAGUAUAUACCUGUUGAAAUUUUCAGCCAGUUCAUUCGUAAUUGUUGUUUUGCUCUGAAUGUUUUCCUACCUGAGUGAUAUGAACUGCACCAGUUCCACUAUAUUGUUGAUAUAAUAAAUUUUUUUCAAAGA